AAAGUUAGAGGUUCGAAGGCGAUCAGAUACCGCCCUAGUUCUAACCAUAAACGAUGCCAGCCAGCGAUCCGGCUGUGUUCCUCAAAUGACACGCCGGGCAGCUUCCGGGAAACCAAAGCUUUUGGGUUCCGGGGGAAGUAUGGUUGCAAAGCUGAAACUUAAAGGAAUUGACGGAAGGGCACCACCAGGAAUGGAGCCUGCGGCUUAAUUUGACUCAACACGGGAAAACUUACCCGGCCCGGACACAGGAAGGAUUGACAGAUUAAGAGCUCUUUCUUGAUUCUGUGGGUGGUGGUGCAUGGCCGUUCUUAGUUGGUGGAGUGAUUUGUCUGGUUAAUUCCGAUAACGAACGAGACUCUAGCCUACUAAAUAGACGUUCCGAUCAUCUCCGUCGGACGUUCUUCUUAGAGGGACAAGCGGCGUUUAGCCGCACGAGACAGAGCAAUAACAGGUCUGUGAUGCCCUUAGAUGUCCGGGGCCGCACGCGCGCUACAUUGAAGGAAUCAGCGUGUGCUUUCCCUGUCCGACAGGACUGGGUAACCCGUUGAACCUCCUUCGUGCUUGGGAUUGCCAAUUGCAACUUUUUCGCAUAAACGAGGAAUUCCGAGUAAGCACGAGUCAUCAGCUCGUGUUGAUUACGUCCCUGCCCUUUGUACACACCGCCCGUCGCUACUACCGAUUGAAUGAUUUAGUGAGGUCUUCGGACUGGCGCUCGGAGCGGCCUUCGGGUCGCGCCGGCGUGCCGGAAAGAUGACCAAACUUGAUCAUU
RNAcentral lists this ribosomal RNA (769 nucleotides) under Alopecosa kochi. RNAcentral describes it as "SSU rRNA". It matches the Rfam family "Eukaryotic small subunit ribosomal RNA", at positions 986 to 1773 of the family's 1831-position model. Lineage: Eukaryota; Metazoa; Arthropoda; Arachnida; Araneae; Lycosidae. The record is from RNAcentral.